GACAUGUAAAUAAGGACCUGGGGUUCCUUAAUGAUGUAACAGUACCGUAUUGGUUCAUAAUGCCGUACACAUUGAUGAUAACUGUACUGGCAGAUGAAUAGAUACGUAUUCAUGACUUGAUGAAUAGUACUAUUCACAUGAAUAGUGACGUAUGCAUAAAUAUUAACCAUUUUGGGUAAACUGUCACUAUAUACAAAAGAGAACCUGCAGUUCCUUAAACUCAUGGAUGAGCAAUUAAAUGAGAUGCCAGAAGUUCCUCAAAAUAUGGACAAUUAUGUAAGGGCUUGGAGUCCCGAAAUAUGUACAGAAAAU
RNAcentral lists this long non-coding RNA (312 nucleotides) under Prunus persica (peach). Its description in RNAcentral is "long non-coding RNA (PPER_LNC000157)". Lineage: Eukaryota; Viridiplantae; Streptophyta; Magnoliopsida; Rosales; Rosaceae. The record is from RNAcentral.